RNAcentral lists this ribosomal RNA (460 nucleotides) under uncultured bacterium. RNAcentral's name for it is "partial 16S ribosomal RNA". It matches the Rfam family "Bacterial small subunit ribosomal RNA", at positions 338 to 795 of the family's 1533-position model. The record is from RNAcentral.
CCUACGGGGGGCAGCAGUGAGGAAUAUUGGUCAAUGGACGGAAGUCUGAACCAGCCAUGCCGCGUGCAGGAAGACGGCUCUAUGAGUUGUAACCUCCUUUUGUACAAGGGUAAACCUGAAUACUUGUAUUCAGCUGAAAGUACUGUACGAAUAAGAAUGGGCUAACUCCGUGCCAGCAGCCGCGGUAAUACGGAGGAUCCAAGCGUUAUCCGGAUUUCUUGGGUUUAAAGGGUGCGUAGGCGGAUUGAUAAGUUAGAGGUGAAAUGGACGAGCUUAACUCGGGAACUGCCUCUAUAACUGUUGAUCUAGAGAGUAGAUGCGGUAGGCGGAAUGUAUGGUGUAGCGGUGAAAUGCUUAGAGAUCAUACAGAACACCGAUUGCGAAGGCAGCUUACCAAUCUAUAUCUGACGUUGAGGCACGAAAGCGUGGGGAGCAAACAGGAUUAGAUACCCUUGUAGUC